RNAcentral lists this transfer RNA (65 nucleotides) under Muscidifurax raptorellus. RNAcentral's name for it is "tRNA-Arg". The record is from RNAcentral. Lineage: Eukaryota; Metazoa; Arthropoda; Insecta; Hymenoptera; Pteromalidae.
AAAUGAAACUAAUUUUAGUUAUUAAUUUCGACUUAAUAUAUAGAUAAUUUAAAUUUAUCCAUUUU